ACCUACGGGAGGCAGCAGUGAGGAAUAUUGGUCAAUGGGAGAGAUCCUGAACCAGCCAAGCCGCGUGAGGGAAGACGGCCCUAUGGGUUGUAAACCUCUUUUGUCGGAGAACAAAACCCGGGACGUGUCCCGGACUGCGUGUAUCCGACGAAAAAGCAUCGGCUAACUCCGUGCCAGCAGCCGCGGUAAUACGGAGGGUGCGAGCGUUAUCCGGAUUUAUUGGGUUUAAAGGGUGCGUAGGCGGUCCGUUAAGUCAGCGGUAAAAUGUCGGGGCUCAACCCCGACGAGCCGUUGAAGCUGGCAGA
This 305-nucleotide ribosomal RNA is filed under the name uncultured bacterium. Its description in RNAcentral is "bacterial SSU rRNA". It matches the Rfam family "Bacterial small subunit ribosomal RNA", at positions 337 to 640 of the family's 1533-position model. The record is from RNAcentral.